Molecule: ribosomal RNA, 194 nt
Filed under: uncultured bacterium
Lineage: Bacteria
Description: partial 16S ribosomal RNA
Rfam family: Bacterial small subunit ribosomal RNA
Source: RNAcentral
CCUACGGGAGGCAGCAGUAGGGAAUCUUCCGCAAUGGGCGAGAGCCUGACGGAGCAACGCCGCGUGAGUGAUGAAGGGUUUCGGCUCGUAAAACUCUGUUAUUAGGGAAGAACAAAUGUGUAAGUAACUGUGCACAUCUUGACGGUACCUAAUCAGAAAGCCACGGCUAACUACGUGCCAGCAGCCGCGGUAAU